This 464-nucleotide ribosomal RNA is filed under the name uncultured bacterium. RNAcentral's name for it is "SSU rRNA". It matches the Rfam family "Bacterial small subunit ribosomal RNA", at positions 26 to 518 of the family's 1533-position model. The record is from RNAcentral.
AGCCUGAACGCUGGCGGCGUGGUUAAGACAUGCAAGUCGUACGGUGUAGCAAUACACAGUGGCGAACGGGUGAGUAAUGAAUCGCUAAUGUACCCCGGACUUUGGGAUAGCUGAUCGAAAAGGUCAGGUAAUACCAGAUGAUAUAACUUUGUCGCAUGACAGAGUUCUCAAAGGUCCGCCGGUCUGGGAGCAGGCGAUUUCGUAUCAGCUAGUUGGUAGGGUAACGGCCUACCAAGGCGACGACGCGUAGCCGGACUGAGAGGUUGGCCGGCCACAUUGGGACUGAGACACUGCCCAGACUCCUACGGGGGGCUGCAGUAACGAAUCUUCCGCAAUGCACGAAAGUGUGACGGAGCGACGCCGCGUGUGGGACGAAGCCCUUCGGGGUGUAAACCACUGUCAAGGGAAAGAAAGUUCUGAUCUACCCUAGAGGAAGAGGCGGCUAACUCUGUGCCAGCAGCCGC